CAACCUUUGACAUGGGACGUAUGGUUGCCAGAGAUGGUGACCUUCAGUUCGGCUGGCGUCCACACAGGUGCUGCAUGGCUGUCGUCAGCUCGUGUCGUGAGAUGUUGGGUUAAGUCCCGCAACGAGCGCAACCCUCAUCUUCAGUUGCCAUCAGUUCGGCUGGGCACUCUGAAGAAACUGCCGGUGACAAGCCGGAGGAAGGUGGGGAUGACGUCAAGUCCUCAUGGCCCUUACAGGUUGGGCUACACACGUGCUACAAUGGCGGUGACAAUGGGUUGCGAGCCCGCGAGGGUGAGCUAAUCUCAAAAAGCCGUCUCAGUUCGGAUUGCACUCUGCAACUCGAGUGCAUGAAGUCGGAAUCGCUAGUAAUCGUGGAUCAGCAUGCCACGGUGAAUA
This 396-nucleotide ribosomal RNA is filed under the name uncultured bacterium. RNAcentral's name for it is "bacterial SSU rRNA". It matches the Rfam family "Bacterial small subunit ribosomal RNA", at positions 975 to 1368 of the family's 1533-position model. The record is from RNAcentral.